This 233-nucleotide long non-coding RNA is filed under the name Elaeis guineensis (African oil palm). RNAcentral's name for it is "long non-coding RNA (EGUI_LNC072030)". Lineage: Eukaryota; Viridiplantae; Streptophyta; Magnoliopsida; Arecales; Arecaceae. The record is from RNAcentral.
AUAGGACUACUCCUGUCAUCUACCAAGGUUGAUAGAUCUUAUCUUGGUGCAAUCUGGUUCCUACAAUGAAUAUACUACAGCCAACAUACACCUCAGGGUUCUGAAUGGCUAGGAGACUGAGUUAUGGUGUAGUCAAACUAUAACACACUCAAGGUGAACUAUCGAUGCACCUCAGGUCAAAGAACUAGACACACAGCUAUAGCAUCGAGCUAGUCAUCGACGAGAAGGUAGAC